This 253-nucleotide ribosomal RNA is filed under the name uncultured bacterium. Its description in RNAcentral is "partial 16S ribosomal RNA". It matches the Rfam family "Bacterial small subunit ribosomal RNA", at positions 524 to 776 of the family's 1533-position model. The record is from RNAcentral.
UACAGAGACUGCAAGCGUUAUUCGGAUUCACUGGGCUUAAAGGGCGCGUAGGCGGCCUGGCAAGUGACGGGUGAAAGCCCUCGGCUCAACCGAGGAACUGCCUGUCAUACUGCCGGGCUUGAGUCCGGGAGAGGUGAGUGGAAUUCCCAGUGUAGCGGUGAAAUGCGUAGAUAUUGGGAGGAACACCAGUGGCGAAGGCGGCUCACUGGACCGGAACUGACGCUGAGGCGCGAAAGCGUGGGGAGCAAACAGG